GCUCCUGUAGUUUAGUUGGUCUAAAACAGCGCCCUCUCAAGGCGUAAGCACAGGUUCGAAUCCUGUCAGGGGUG
This 74-nucleotide transfer RNA is filed under the name Candidatus Saccharimonadota bacterium. RNAcentral describes it as "tRNA-Glu". It matches the Rfam family "tRNA". From Rfam's summary of the family: Transfer RNA (tRNA) molecules are approximately 80 nucleotides in length. Their secondary structure includes four short double-helical elements and three loops (D, anti-codon, and T loops). Further hydrogen bonds mediate the characteristic L-shaped molecular structure. tRNAs have two regions of fundamental functional importance: the anti-codon, which is responsible for specific mRNA codon recognition, and the 3' end, to which the tRNAs corresponding amino acid is attached (by aminoacyl-tRNA synthetases). tRNAs cope with the degeneracy of the genetic code in two manners: having more than one tRNA (with a specific anti-codon) for a particular amino acid; and 'wobble' base-pairing, i.e. permitting non-standard base-pairing at the 3rd anti-codon position. The record is from RNAcentral. Lineage: Bacteria; Candidatus Saccharimonadota. RNAcentral also lists the same sequence under 1 other name.